This 427-nucleotide ribosomal RNA is filed under the name uncultured bacterium. RNAcentral describes it as "bacterial SSU rRNA". It matches the Rfam family "Bacterial small subunit ribosomal RNA", at positions 355 to 774 of the family's 1533-position model. The record is from RNAcentral. RNAcentral also lists the same sequence under 1 other name.
UGGGGAAUUUUGGACAAUGGGCGGAAGCCUGAUCCAGCCAUGCCGCGUGAGUGAAGAAGGCCUUCGGGUUGUAAAGCUCUUUCGGUGGGGAAGAAAUCGCAAUGGAUAAUACCUAUUGUGGAUGACGGUACCCGCAUAAGAAGCACCGGCUAACUACGUGCCAGCAGCCGCGGUAAUACGUAGGGUGCGAGCGUUAAUCGGAAUUACUGGGCGUAAAGCGUGCGCAGGCGGUUAUAUAAGUCAGACGUGAAAUCCCCGGGCUCAACCUGGGAACUGCGUUUGAGACUGUAUGACUAGAGGAUGGCAGAGGGGGGUAGAAUUCCACGUGUAGCAGUGAAAUGCGUAGAGAUGUGGAGGAAUACCGAUGGCGAAGGCAGCCCCCUGGGCUAUUACUGACGCUCAUGCACGAAAGCGUGGGGAGCAAACA